GAGUUUGAUCCUGGCUCAGGAUGAACGCUGGCGGCGUGCCUAAUACAUGCAAGUCGAGCGAACGGACGAGAAGCUUGCUUCUCUGAUGUUAGCGGCGGACGGGUGAGUAACACGUGGAUAACCUACCUAUAAGACUGGGAUAACUUCGGGAAACCGGAGCUAAUACCGGAUAAUAUUUUGAACCGCAUGGUUCAAAAGUAAAAGACGGUCUUGCUGUCACUUAUAGAUGGAUCCGCGCUGCAUUAGCUAGUUGGUAAGGUAACGGCUUACCAAGGCAACGAUGCACUAGCCGACCUGAGAGGGUGAUCGGCCACACUGGAACUGAGACACGGUCCAGACUCCUACGGGAGGCAGCAGUAGGGAAUCUUCCGCAAUGGGCGAAAGCCUGACGGAGCAACGCCGCGUGAGUGAUGAAGGUCUUCGGAUCGUAAAACUCUGUUAUUAGGGAGAACAUAUGUGUAGUAACUGUGCACAUCUUGACGGUACCUAAUCAGAAAG
Molecule: ribosomal RNA, 498 nt
Filed under: uncultured microorganism
Description: bacterial SSU rRNA
Rfam family: Bacterial small subunit ribosomal RNA
Source: RNAcentral